This 253-nucleotide ribosomal RNA is filed under the name uncultured bacterium. Its description in RNAcentral is "partial 16S ribosomal RNA". It matches the Rfam family "Bacterial small subunit ribosomal RNA", at positions 524 to 776 of the family's 1533-position model. The record is from RNAcentral.
UACAGAGACUGCAAGCGUUAUUCGGAUUCACUGGGCGUAAAGGGUGCGUAGGUGGCGCUGUAAGUCGGGUGUGAAAUCCUGAGGCUUAACCUCGGAACUGCAUUCGAUACUGCGGCGCUUGAGGACUGGAGAGGAGACUGGAAUUCAUGGUGUAGCAGUGAAAUGCGUAGAGAUCAUGAGGAAGACCAGUGGCGAAGGCGGGUCUCUGGACAGUUCCUGACACUGAGGCACGAAGGCCAGGGGAGCAAACGGG